This 840-nucleotide ribosomal RNA is filed under the name Campylobacter coli. Its description in RNAcentral is "partial 23S ribosomal RNA". It matches the Rfam family "Bacterial large subunit ribosomal RNA", at positions 1 to 858 of the family's 2925-position model. The record is from RNAcentral. Lineage: Bacteria; Pseudomonadati; Campylobacterota; Epsilonproteobacteria; Campylobacterales; Campylobacteraceae.
AAAGGUAAGCUACUAAGAGCGAAUGGUGGAUGCCUUGACUGGUAAAGGCGAUGAAGGACGUACUAGACUGCGAUAAGCUACGGGGAGCUGUCAAGAAGCUUUGAUCCGUAGAUUUCCGAAUGGGGCAACCCAAUGUAUAGAGAUAUACAUUACCUAUAUAGGAGCGAACGAGGGGAAUUGAAACAUCUUAGUACCCUCAGGAAAAGAAAUCAAUAGAGAUUGCGUCAGUAGCGGCGAGCGAAAGCGCAAGAGGGCAAACCCAGUGCUUGCACUGGGGGUUGUAGGACUGCAAUGUGCAAGAGGUGAGUUUAGCAGAACAUUCUGGAAAGUAUAGCCAUAGAGGGUGAUAGUCCCGUAUGCGAAAAACAAACCUUAGCUAGCAGUAUCCUGAGUAGGGCGGGACACGAGAAAUCCUGUCUGAAGCUGGGUCGACCACGAUCCAACCCUAAAUACUAAUACCAGAUCGAUAGUGCACAAGUACCGUGAGGGAAAGGUGAAAAGAACUGAGGUGAUCAGAGUGAAAUAGAACCUGAAACCAUUUGCUUACAAUCAUUCAGAGCCCUAUGUAGCAAUACAGGGUGAUGGACUGCCUUUUGCAUAAUGAGCCUGCGAGUUGUGGUGUCUGGCAAGGUUAAGCAAACGCGAAGCCGUAGCGAAAGCGAGUCUGAAUAGGGCGCUUAGUCAGAUGCUGCAGACCCGAAACGAAGUGAUCUAUCCAUGAGCAAGUUGAAGCUAGUGUAAGAACUAGUGGAGGACUGAACCCAUAGGCGUUGAAAAGCCCCGGGAUGACUUGUGGAUAGGGGUGAAAGGCCAAUCAAACUUCGUGAUAGCUGGUUCUCU